Molecule: ribosomal RNA, 1047 nt
Filed under: uncultured Bacteroides sp.
Lineage: Bacteria; Pseudomonadati; Bacteroidota; Bacteroidia; Bacteroidales; Bacteroidaceae
Description: bacterial SSU rRNA
Rfam family: Bacterial small subunit ribosomal RNA
Source: RNAcentral
AAGGAAUAAAGUCGGGUAUGCAUACCCGUUUGCAUGUACUUUAUGAAUAAGGAUCGGCUAACUCCGUGCCAGCAGCCGCGGUAAUACGGAGGAUCCGAGCGUUAUCCGGAUUUAUUGGGUUUAAAGGGAGCGUAGAUGGAUGUUUAAGUCAGUUGUGAAAGUUUGCGGCUCAACCGUAAAAUUGCAGUUGAUACUGGAUGUCUUGAGUGCAGUUGAGGCAGGCGGAAUUCGUGGUGUAGCGGUGAAAUGCUUAGAUAUCACGAAGAACUCCGAUUGCGAAGGCAGCCUGCUAAGCUGCAACUGACAUUGAGGCUCGAAAGUGUGGGUAUCAAACAGGAUUAGAUACCCUGGUAGUCCACACGGUAAACGAUGAAUACUCGCUGUUUGCGAUAUACGGCAAGCGGCCAAGCGAAAGCGUUAAGUAUUCCACCUGGGGAGUACGCCGGCAACGGUGAAACUCAAAGGAAUUGACGGGGGCCCGCACAAGCGGAGGAACAUGUGGUUUAAUUCGAUGAUACGCGAGGAACCUUACCCGGGCUUAAAUUGCACUCGAAUGAUCCGGAAACGGUUCAGCUAGCAAUAGCGAGUGUGAAGGUGCUGCAUGGUUGUCGUCAGCUCGUGCCGUGAGGUGUCGGCUUAAGUGCCAUAACGAGCGCAACCCUUGUUGUCAGUUACUAACAGGUGAUGCUGAGGACUCUGACAAGACUGCCAUCGUAAGAUGUGAGGAAGGUGGGGAUGACGUCAAAUCAGCACGGCCCUUACGUCCGGGGCUACACACGUGUUACAAUGGGGGGUACAGAGGGCCGCUACCACGCGAGUGGAUGCCAAUCCCUAAAACCCCUCUCAGUUCGGACUGGAGUCUGCAACCCGACUCCACGAAGCUGGAUUCGCUAGUAAUCGCGCAUCAGCCACGGCGCGGUGAAUACGUUCCCGGGCCUUGUACACACCGCCCGUCAAGCCAUGGGAGCCGGGGGUACCUGAAGUGCGUAACCGCGAGGAUCGCCCUAGGGUAAAACUGGUGACUGGGGCUAAGUCUAACCAAGGUAA